Molecule: ribosomal RNA, 134 nt
Filed under: Propithecus coquereli (Coquerel's sifaka)
Lineage: Eukaryota; Metazoa; Chordata; Mammalia; Primates; Indriidae
Source: RNAcentral
UUUUACGGCCACACCACCCUGAACACGCCCGAUCUCAUUUGAUCUUGGCAGCUGUGCAGGGUCGGGCCUGGUUAGUGCGUGAACGGGAGAACGGCACAUACUGGAGCUCGAGUGAAGCAAGGAGACCUCAAAGA